Piliocolobus tephrosceles (Ugandan red Colobus) is the source of this 2632-nucleotide long non-coding RNA. RefSeq lists it as uncharacterized. Lineage: Eukaryota; Metazoa; Chordata; Mammalia; Primates; Cercopithecidae. The record is from RefSeq and is a predicted model, not a curated record. The transcript has 5 exons.
AUGGUCAUGGGCCUGUGUUUACAGGGCCUUGGGGUCAUGCCUUGCAACUGGUAGGAGUUGCCAAAUGCCUCAGGCAAUGAGUGUCCUGACAGACCUGCAUACUGAAGGCUGCCCUGGCUGCUGUGGGAGAAUGGAGUGAGAAGAUGGAGGUUCGAGGCAGGGAGGCCAUUGAGGAGGCUGCCACAACAUGCAGGCAAGAGGUGAGAAAGGGAUUUACAUGAAGCCGCAACCUGCCUUUCCUAUUUCCCUGCCUUGGUGAUGCUGUCAGCUCUCGCGGAGUAAAAGCCCAUCCUCCCUGUCUCCGCAUGUCUGAAUCCUGCCUAGCCUUUAAAGUCCGGCUAAAGGCCGCCUCCUCCAGGAAGCCCUGGCCUAUCAUCUGAUUGCUUGAUUGUAUGUCCUCUGAGUGCAUACCGCCUCCCACCUGGCCUGUGCUGCUCAUCACCACCUUGCACGGAGAUCGUCGGUGUCAGAGCAGGGAUUACCCUGUGUGUUAAUCUGCACUGUGGGCUUCAGCCUGCUUGUUGGCAGUGGUUCCCCACCCUGGAUGCACGUGUGAGUCAUCUGAAGAGCUUAAAAAAAUCCUGGUGCCUCAGUUACACCCUAGGCAAAACCACAUCAGAAUCAGGCCUUCGCAGGUUUUAAAGCAGUGCCUCUGAAAUUUUCGUAUGUGUGCACGCCCCCUGAGGAUCGUGUUAAAAUGCAGAUUCUGAUCCAAUAGCUUGGCACCGAUUUUGCAUUUCUAAAAAGCUCCCAGGUGAUGUGAACGUUCCAUGGACCACACUUUGAAGAGCGAGGUGUUAAAGUACCCCAGGUGAUUCCAGCGUGCAGCCAGCACCCAUCCACCCCCACACCACCCCAUCCAGGUGAACAGCACCUCUGCGCUGUAGAGUGAAAUGGUGGAUUUGAGUCUUGGCUCCGCGGGUUCCUCACUAGACCUUGGCAGGUCACAUGAUCUCUGCGAUGGGAGAUUGUGAGGAUCAGAGGAGGCCUUGGCCAUCUGCCUUGCUUUCUUGGUUGGAACCAACGCAGUGAACACCUUUACCACGCCUUGCAAGCCCAGGCUGCUGUUGCUGCCACCAUCACCACCACCAAGGACCUAAGAGCCCCCACAUACAGCACAGACCUUCGAAGAGACAGACCCUACUCCUGUACACUAGUUGGGCUGCACAGGCCCUGGCUUCCCAGUGCUGCCUAGAGGGCCAGGGGACACCACCAGGACUGUUGGUCAGCAGAUGCUCUGGCCAUGACAAAUGAGGGAUCUGAAGGAGCCACAAGUCUGCUGCUCCCCCUUCUUUCCCUACAAUGGGCUGUGUUAUGCCACACUGGAAGUGCCGAGAUGCUGAGCAAAGAGCAGUACGCGUGGUGAAGACAGGCUGGCUUGCUCGGCAUCUGUGCUCCCUUCCAGCUUCACUUUUGCUUCUGGGAUUGCACCCCACUCCCAAAGCAUUCAAGAGGCUUUUGCCUCAGGCUCUGUUUUCUAGGGAACACGGAAGAAGACAUUUCCCUCUUGGGUUGUAGUAACCUUGCGAACAGGAGCCCGUCCUUUCCUUUAUUCUCCCUGUGAAGUUAUAUAUCUCUGUUCAAUGCCUUUUUAAAGUUGUAGGGCAGAUAAAAUUGCAUUUAUAUAAAAUUAUAAGCAGCAGAAAAAGGACUGGGAGAAGAUAUGCCACAAUAUUAAUAGUGGUAUUGUUAAGGUGAUGGCAGGCUGAGUGAUUCUUUUCCUUAUUUUAUAAAUGUUCUUCAUGUUAUUGUAUUUAUGAUGAAAAAUACCUUAUCAACAUAUAUGAAAAAAUAUUCGAGGUCUUUUUUUUCUGGCUCAAAAAGUAGCCAACAUAUGGUAAAAUAAAUGGGUGUUUAGGAAGCAUGAAAAUGAAGCCCCAAAGAAAGGAAGCAAGAAGUCAGAGUGCUUUGGAGGAAAGAAAUCUCUGUAUUAGAUAAACAUUCCUCCACGCCAGGGUAGAAGGAAAGGUCCUCCCAGAUGGUAAAAAUAUGCUCAACUUGCCCCUGCAAGUGUUAUAGCUUGAAAAGCUGAAGUGGAAGACGUGCUCGAGUAGCCAGAACUUUUAGGACAAAUUCUAACAGCGGGGGCUUUUGGACAGGACUUCAAUUUAUAUUGAAUUUACACUGAUUCCACCAAAAGGAAAUGUGUAAGCAAGUUGGGGUAAGAACAGGGUAAGUCUAGCUGAGGGCAGUUAAAGACAAGAGAAAAAGAUCCUGAAGCCCGUUUUUAAAACCCCUGCAUUCAUUGUGACCUUCAGGGGAGCCCAGGAGAUGGGAACAGUGGGGGAACCAACCAGAGAAUCACAGCGUUGCCAAGGGCUCCCACUGCCAGGUCGAUGAGCCCAUCCUCAUUGAGGUCCAAUUGCCCGUGGAUGCUGCAGCCAAAAUACUGGAGGCCGGUAGCCAGCUCUGAGGCUGUGAUUCUCUGCAGGGAGCAGGAAGAGAGGGGGAGGGCAUGCACACCGUGAGUGUGGGGGCGGGCGGCCCUGAGCUCCAGGAACAAUUGGGAGCCUGUUUGAAAUCACGAAGAAGCUUCCCCAACCCAAAGCAAUCUCCUCUCCUGGCCUGUCAUGGCACCUGAAAUUCCUACCAUUCAAGUCAUUCUUUUGGAUUAAAAUAUUGUGUCUUAAAA